UGCUCCAUAGCUCAGUGGUAAGAGCACUGGUCUUAUAAACCAAGGAUUGUGAGUUCCAAUCUCACUGGGGCCU
Molecule: non-coding RNA, 73 nt
Organism: Gopherus flavomarginatus (Mexican gopher tortoise)
Lineage: Eukaryota; Metazoa; Chordata; Testudines; Testudinidae
Source: the annotation of a RefSeq genome assembly